This 457-nucleotide ribosomal RNA is filed under the name uncultured Leptolinea sp. RNAcentral describes it as "bacterial SSU rRNA". It matches the Rfam family "Bacterial small subunit ribosomal RNA", at positions 917 to 1381 of the family's 1533-position model. The record is from RNAcentral. Lineage: Bacteria; Bacillati; Chloroflexota; Anaerolineae; Anaerolineales; Anaerolineaceae.
GACGGGCCCGCACAAGCAGCGGAGCGUUGUGGUUUAAUUCGAUGUUACACGAAGAACCUUACCAGGGUUUGACAUGCAAGUGGUAGGAAGCCGAAAGGUGACCGACCCUUCGGGGAGCUUGCACAGGUGCUGCAUGGCUGUCGUCAGCUCGUGUCGUGAGAUGUUCGGUUAAGUCCGCUAACGAGCGCAACCCUCGCUGUGUGUUAUAUGUGUCACACGGGACUGCCGGUCUUAAAGCCGGAGGAAGGUGGGGAUGAUGUCAAGUCAGCAUGGCCUUUAUAUCCUGGGCUACACACACGCUACAAUGGCCAACACAAUAGGUUGCUAAGCCGCGAGGUGGCGCCAAUCCAUAAAGUUGGUCUCAGUUCAGAUUGUAGGCUGCAACCCGCCUGCAUGAAGAUGGAGUUGCUAGUAACCGCAGGUCAGCUAUACUGCGGUGAAUACGUUCCCGGGGCUU